CACACCUGGUAUGGCUUCCCCUUCAGACUCUUCUCCAUCUUCAUAGCCCUGAUUUAAUCAGGGGAGACCUCUCAAGAAGCUGUUACUUACUAUGCAGUAAUCAAGGCAUCAUGGCAUCAUGAGGCAGUAAUCAAGGAACUAGUUGCCUGCAGCCCCUAUGAGCAUAGGGAGAGUGGCUUAAGCAGAAGACAGUGACCCAUGAAAGAAAGGCAGGCAGAGCUGACCAGAAGACAAGCUCAGAUCAAUGUCAGCUGAACAAGGACUCUCAUUCCACAGUUAUCUAUGGAAGACUCACUACUCCCUGCAGUAACACACAGCAUGACACUGAACCUUCCCACAGCUCCUCCCUUCCACUCCUCAAGGGCAACAUGUCACCACAGACCUGGAACUCAACCCAAUUCCACCAGUGGGUGGUAAGAUGACACUCCUACCUCCCUCACACUCCAAUUAUCCUUCCUUACCUCCCAGAAACUGCCCCCAGGAGCCUCCCCGCCAGCAUCAUCUUCUGAUGACAUCACCCUCUUUUUCUUGCAGCAGAGAAUGUUUGCAGAUUUCAGUUACCCUGAGAAGAGAGAAAAGUGAUUUCCAUCAUAGCACUGGCUGAGCCUUUGCAAACAGCAUAGUUCUCCAUUACUCUGGGAGCUGGAGGAGCCCAACUUGCUGCCCUGCAGUCAAGUACUGUCAUCAGUGCCCCUCAGCUGCAGAUGGCAAGGUCCAGCAGAGAUGCCCAGGGCUGAACUGGCCUCCUCCCUCCCUGCAGACAAGAGGCCUCCUUGGCAGGCCUGUAACACCUUAGGAAAGGAUGUUGUAGAAGACAAUCUUGCCAAACCUUGGCUGUGCAGAUAUCAGACAUGCUCAUGAAUCCAACAGUCUUCAGCAGCACCAAAUACUUCUGCAGAGAUUCUGUUCUUAACCAAAGCCCUCGAGAGGGUAAGAGAAACAGAGAUAGCUAAAGCUCUUUAAAAUCUGCCUUGAAAGACUUUAAAUAAAGUCUUGUGUCAAUGGAGAUGACUCCAGCUUCCCAGUAUGACUCAGGAUUACAGGAUUACAACAAC
Passer domesticus (house sparrow) is the source of this 1055-nucleotide long non-coding RNA. RefSeq lists it as uncharacterized. The transcript has 3 exons. NCBI's taxonomy places the organism in Eukaryota, Metazoa, Chordata, Aves, Passeriformes, Passeridae. The record is from RefSeq and is a predicted model, not a curated record.